CCUACGGGGUGCAGCAGUGGGGAAUAUUGCGCAAUGGGCGAAAGCCUGACGCAGCGACGCCGCGUGAGGGAUGAAGGUCUUCGGAUCGUAAACCUCUGUCAGCAGGGAAGAACGGUCACUGUGCUAAUCAGCAGUGAAUUGACGGUACCUGCAAAGGAAGCACCGGCUAAAGCCGUGCCAGCAGCCGCGGUAAUACGGAGGGUGCGAGCGUUAAUCGGAAUUACUGGGCGUAAAGCGCUCGUAGGCGGUAUGUCAAGUCAAGGGUGAAAUCCCCGCGCUCAACGUGGGAACUGCCUUUGAAACUGGCAAACUGGAGUGUGUGAGAGGAUAGUGGAAGUCCAGGUGUAGGAGUGAAAUGCGUAGAUAUCUGGAGGAACAUCAGUGGCGAAGGCGACUAUCUGGCACAUAACUGACGCUGAGGAGCGAAAGCGUGGGUAGCAAACAGGAUUAGAUACCCCAGUAGUC
Molecule: ribosomal RNA, 465 nt
Filed under: uncultured bacterium
Lineage: Bacteria
Description: partial 16S ribosomal RNA
Rfam family: Bacterial small subunit ribosomal RNA
Source: RNAcentral